UUAUUUCUUUGAGAGAGACAGAGAGAAUGUGAGCCAGGGAGGAGCCGAGGGAGGAGAGAAUCUCAAGCAGACUCUGCACUGACUGCAGAGGCCCAUGCGGGGCUCUAUCUCAAGACUCUGAGAUCAUGAACUGAGCCAAAAUCGAGUCAGUGGCUCAACCAAAUGAGGUACCCAGGCACCCCCAAAGUGAGCUCCAGUUCUAAAGCUGUGAUGUUUAAGCUUUAUUGAAUACCAGAAUCAUGGUAGGGCUAAGCUCCACCUCAGAGUUUCUAGAUCACUAGGUGGAGAAUUUAUAAUUCUAGCAAGUCCCCAGGAGAUGCAGGGCCUGGCACAACCAUACUCUGAAAACUAGUGCUCUGAACUUGUCUAUAUUUUAUCUGUAUGUACCUCUCAGAUAGCACAUUCUUCCUUGUAUUAAAGUUACUUAUGUGUGUUUUUAAAUUACACACUGGACAAUAAUCUCCCUUCUUUCUUCUUCUUAUAGUUUUUAUCUAACAAAGUGCUUGGAAACGGCAAAUAUUUGGUGAAUGUUUAUGGAAUAAAAUUGGUCUGGUCAGCAUACACUGUAACUCUACAACAUGCUCCAGGGAGAAGAUCUAAAUGAAUCAUUAGACUAAUCAGGAAUGACGAUUAUAAAACUUACAGACCCUGGGUAAAUAGCUAGUCCAGCAUUUCCCAAACUGUGUCCUAUGACACAUCACGUUAUGACCUAUGAAUAGGUGUGCAUCUAUUUUAGGAAAUGCAGGUUGAACAAAGGUGAACAGAUUUGUUAAUUUAGAACUUCGUGGAGUCUUCUGUAUGCACCAAAAUAAACGUUCCCCCUCUCUCAUCCUUAGUCAUCUCUAAUAAUUUAUCCCACUUUGCUGUCUCCUUGUGAAAGCACAGUAUCUGUUGUUUAUCUACAGUGGCAAAAAUAAAGUUCCCUGACACACGGUCAGAAUUCAGUGAAUACCUGUUGCACACACAAAUAUACUACACAAACUGUGAUUCUAAGCACAGUUCCUAAAAUCUAUUUUAUUAUUAAUUUACUCCCCAUCCCCCAUGCCCCCACAACAGGCACCUACAGGAGAAGAAAGGGUAUUUUCUAGAAUACAAUUGGGGAGACAUUGACUGAAUCCAAGCUAGACACUGUGGCCCAGACAGGUCCAACAGCUGCCUGGAAAGCUUCAGAGGUGGGAUGUAAUCCCAGGAUUCUUCAAAUGAGUUCAUUAUUCUUCCUACACCAUAUCACUGGGUAUGGCUUCCCAUUUCAACUAAGCUGGGAGUUAUCCUUGAAGAAAUGGCUUCAAUACUUGUUAUAUAAACACAUCUCCAUGUUCCAACUUAAGAAUGAGAUAACUGGGUGCCUGGGUGGCUCAGUUGGUUAAGCAUCUGUCUUCAACUCAGGUCAUGAUCCCAGGGUCCUGGGAUCAAGCUCCACAUUGGGCUCUUUGCUCAGCAGAGUGUCUGCUUCUCCCUCUCCCUCUGCCACUCUGCCUGCUUGUGUUCUCUCCGUCUCUCUGUCAAAUAAGUAAAAUCUUAAAAAAAAAUAGUUUGGUUCUUAAAAAAAAAAAAAAAAAAAGAAUGAGACAACUGUUCCAUAGUUGGCUACGCUCUUCUCUUUUCUCAUUAAAAAGAAAAACAAACAGGGGCGCCUGGCUUAGUCAGUGAAGUGCACAACUCUUGAUCUUGGGGUCGUGAGUUCUAGUUGGGUGUACAUAUAACUUAAAAAUAAAAUCUUGGGCAGCCUGGGUGGCUCAGCGGUUUGGUGCCACCUUCGGCCCAGGGUCUGAUCCUGGAGACCCAGGAUCGAGUCCCACGUUGGGCUCCCUGCAUGCAGCCUGCUUCUUCUUCUGCCUGUGUCUCUGCCUCUCUCUGUGUGUGUGUCUCUCAUGAGUAAAGAAAUAAAAUCUUUAAAAAAUAAGUAAAUAAAAUCUUUAAAAAAGAACAGAAUUUUCAAAGACUAUAAAUGGCAAAGACUGGCACGAGGGGAAGAACUUUAUUAAUGCUAAGUAAUCAUCCACAUAGUCUCAUAGUUUUUGUUAUCUAUUUUCACUAAAGUGAGUGGUAUAAAGCAGUUUGCCAAAUCCAAAGUAUCCUUGAGAUGCAAAACCUAAAACCAAAUUCAUAUACACUCCUCCCUGGAAAAUCCUACUUCUCUGCUUGAGCCCCACGUCUAAGCAGAGCUUUAUAAGCAAAAAGAGUAUUUCAUUGACCAGAAUAUGAUUAUCACCCUCUGCCAGUCUACACAAGGACAAAAAUCCCAAACCAAAGCCUCCAGUUGGUUCUGCCAACCAGCCAAGCAGACCAUUACCCAAACCCAAUCUUUUUAUUUACUAUAAUAUACGGUUAAUUCUCAUUUUUUUUCCAGUGGUGCAAAUCUUUCUAUUGUCUAAAAGUGUCUCUCAGGAGAAAAGUCAAUCAGCAUGAAGCAAGUGUAAUUCAAGGUGGCUCUGAGAAAAAUGGAAGAUUCAGCCACACAGCGGCAGUGUUAUGAAUACCCUCCUUUAUUUUCUCCCCAGGUGCUAGAAAUAUUUCCAUACAACACUGGUUAAUGUCAAGUAUCAUUUCAUCAGUAAAUGCUUCAAAUUCAGGGGUAAUUCAACCAGAGGCUAUCAGGAGGAAAGAUUAUCAUGUUGUUCAAGCCUUUUAAAAAAUCAUUUCUCCCUCUGGAGAAAGAAAUUCGUCACAGGGUAAAAGAAAAAAAAAUGUAUGAAGAGGAUAUAAUUUGCUCCUAUGCUUGGCUGUCUAAGAAAAUGUUCCAGAAAAAUGCAUGAUUUCAAUUUUUCUCUGGUGGGUCUUGCUGACAGAAACCAAAGGGUAAAUACAUUAGUAUUCACUUAUACUCAAGAUUUCUUUAAAAAAGAAGAAUAGCAAGGGGAAAAAAAAAACCCAAUAUUUUCCAAAUAACAGCAUUUACUAUGGAAUAACCGCCUGAGAGAGAAAAGAAUCCAGUUUCAAAUGGAACAAUGUCUUUAAACAGUGUUCAUUCCAAGGGUUAGGGAGACAGAAUGCAGGUGAGGGAACAAGCUGCCCUCUGCUUGCUAUAUUCUGAUACAAUCCACAUUCACUACCAUGCUAAGUCCCUGCGGUCCGUCCACUUUCCAAAAGUUGACAUCCUUUUCACCAUCCCAAUGGCCAUUGUCCUUUAAAAGUGAUUUUCCUUCAAGGAAAAGUAUAUAGUAAAAUCAGGAAUCAGGAAAGCAGAAUGAGGCGGAGCUUCCCUCAGCACAUCCUUUUCCUGCCCUGGUGAGUGGUGGUAAUGUCAGGGCAAGACGGAAGUCAACACAUCUGUGAAAGGGCUGUGGCGGGAGGCGACGGACCCAGAGCCCCAAUCUAAUAGGGGAAAGGAAGUAUCAGGUUUCCCUUUUCCAAAAGAUCUGAACUGCCAAAGGAAGAUGUGAUAAAUGACAGAACAUCCUCAAGACUGCAGAUGACUUUUGGGAGAAUAUAAUUCAAUUCCAAAUGUCUCCAAGGGUACACACGGGAUCAGGUCUUACUCUGGACCAAGUAGCCCACAAGCUCCAGACGGCAGUUCCAGAAACGUAGGUGUGUUUGGCUAAAUGUUUCCCCAGAAGGGAAAGCAGCAGCACCAAGCCCUGUAUACUGUUCACAGUAUAGAACCACAAAAUGAAUCUAAUGAGAAAAGAGAUACACGCUCAACACGGUACAACAGGCUAAUGCUAAUAUGUCACCUCACGGAGGCUGGGGAAUGGCAGAUAAGACUGGGGGACAAAGAAUACAAGGAAUAUGUGUGCAAGAAAUAAGGAAACAAUAUAUCAGGAAAUUGGUGAGAAUUGAAAAAAAAGUAUCUCAAGACAGCAAUCCUGAUAAACUCAAAAAGGAGAAGAGAUAACAAAACAGCUUGACAUAUGAAAGAGGAACACGCUAGGGAGAGAGGUAGAAAUUACAUUAUAGGAAGAGGCAAGUCAGGAAUGCCUGGGUGGCACAGUGGUUGAGCGUCUGCCUUCCACUCAGGGCAUGAUCCUGGGUUCCUGGGAUCGAGACCCACACCAGGCUCCCUGCAUGGAGCCUGCUUCUCCUUCUGCCUAGUCUCUGCCUCUCUCUGUGUGUCUCUCAUGAAUAAAUAAAGUCUUAAAAAAAAAAAAAAAGGAAGAAGCAAAGAAGAUUAUUUGGGACUAGGCAACAAUAAGCGUUGCCAGGAUUUUAAAGAGCUCACAUGUGGGUCAGGAAAUGCUGUCUGGAAGUUUGCUGACAGUCCAGAAAUCUUGUCAGUCACGUCUCCUCACAUUGCCAUUGCUGACAACUGUGUCUUAGCAAACAAGGCAAAAAUGCAAAUCUGGCUCCUUCAGCUCUCCCACACUCCCCAUUAAGCCUAUUUAUUAUUGACUGAUGGGUUUAUGCCGACGUGGCCUGUAUUAGUACCCCGUGCUAAUGAGACCAGGGUCACAGGUUCAAUCCCACAGGGGGCUACACACAGGUCUACGCCUGAGAACAGGUCAACAAGAAUAGGUGAGCAUCAACUACUCUCCAUCUCGACUACAAAGUCAAAACUACAGAAUCAGGCAUCGGUGGAGUCCCGAUGUUCACUUAAGAAAACAUAUCUCUUCAGAGGGGCAAGACAUCUGGAGACAUUUCUGAGGAUACAGAAUGAAGGAGUGAUCAAAGAACCUCUGAGAACCUGGUUAGCAAUUCUCAGCAUAACCAAUCUGAGCCCUACUACUGGAUCCAGGACAGGCUGAUUCUCCCAAAGCAGCCAUAAAUGGAUUAAGUGAGAGAUCACUCAGUGCAUCAUAGCUGGCCUGACAAGAGCUGUGCCUUCUAGAGGUGCUGCCACACAGAAAAGGCAAAGGCCGAGGGCAAAGCCUAUCUGUGGAGAAUACCUGCUAAGCACACACAGACAAGGCUGAUCACGUGAGCUCCGCCUAAGAGAUACUGAAGUACUUUCUGCGUCUCUGUGAAUACUACUACACACUGCAAUUUUGAAAGAAUUAGGAGCCAGUGUGGUGGGUGUGCCUAAUGAGGUGGCUUCCUGAGAUACUCCCUCACCCCCCUUCCUGGAAUCCUGAUACUGUUUUUGAAACUGAAAGCCAGACAUGAGAAAGGCAGUCAAAUGUACUAGGUUCAAAAAGAAAAUGAAUAUAUAAGAACCCAGUGAGAUCAGCUCCAGGGCUGAUCCAAAAAUGGGGGUGGAGUAGAUCAAAGUUCAUGGCCAAUGGGGAAAAGGAAGGUGUCUCCAAGGUCUAGGCACUGGUUGCCUGUGAAGAGAUGACAGUAACCCUAUAGCAUCAACCUCUUGGCCAGCCUUACACAUCACUCUUGCACCUCCAUAGCAUUCUCCUACAACCACCCAGUCACAUACUUAAAGCCUGAGCAUCUCCUACCCCUCCUGGCUCACUGCAACAUCUUCCCUGGCUUUCAGGAUUGCAAAGACCAAAACUGUCAACAUGCUUGAGAAAGGUCUGACGAAUUUGGCCCUGACUUCUUCCCUAUCAUCUCUAACCACUCAGCUUUCCAGUCACACUGGCCUUUGUUCGGUUCCUGAUAGACCACCUCCCGCCUCAGCCUCAGGUGGUUUUUUCAUGUUGUUACACCUGAGUUCUGCUCUCUUCCCAUUCUUGGUUUCCCAUCAUGGAAACAAUAUGCACAUGGUCAGUAACCCCAAUUUCUAUAUCCUUAUACCCCUAUCCUAAGGGAACAUUUCUCUGGUGCUCAAGGUGAGCUGUGGCCUCUUGUUAGAUGUCCUUACAGCACCCAGGACCUUUCCUUCGUACCCUUUUACCACUAAAUUAUAUUUUAGCAAGACUAUUUCAUUACUAUCUGCUAUCCCAAUUUGACUGUAAACUAUCUGAAGGAAGGAAUUAUCUCCGAUGGUCACCAUCAUUCCACACCUGC
Molecule: long non-coding RNA, 5835 nt
Filed under: Canis lupus familiaris (dog)
Lineage: Eukaryota; Metazoa; Chordata; Mammalia; Carnivora; Canidae
Description: lncRNA (ENSCAFG00845023711.1)
Source: RNAcentral